ACCGGCAACCUUCCAGUCACAGGCACAGAUCCUGAGCCACAGAGCCACCGCUCCGCCCAUCAGACGUCGCUGCCAUGGCAACAGGGUAUUGGGACCAGCUGCCGGAAGGAAGAGAAGCCGACGCGCACCAGUGAGCGCCUGGAGCGGGCGAGACGGCGCGGGCUCUCGCACUGGGACUGGCAGUGGUGGUCAGGUGAGAGGGGAACAGCACUGUGGACACGCACACGCGCACACACACACCCCUCUACGGUGGGGGGGGUUGGUGUAGAAAGAAGGAGGCCAGAUAGCAGAAAGGAACGAGGAGUAUGGUGCUGAUCUGGACAUCAUGAGGCUGGUUUGCUUCCCCUGGUCCUGGGACUCUUGAGAGGGUCAUCGACACCACGGGCUCUUCAGGGCGCCAGGGCGUUUUAACUCAAAACCUGGAGGAACCUGCCAGGAGGGUUCAACCGAGCUGGAAGUGGAUCUGUGUCCCAGGCACACUUCAAAAUCCACAGAGAAUGCAUCACAAAAUCAACCCAACAUUUUGCAAUGGGCCAGUCCGUCACCAGACUGGAACCUGUUGGAAACCUGGGGUGUGAACUGGGGAGGUCAGUCCAUGCGCACAUCCUGGAGGGUAUCGAGAGUUCGGUGUGGAGCAGAGCCUCAGUGUGUUCUCCAGGCUCAUAGGGCUUAGUGCUGCUAUCGAGACAAGGGGAGGGUACACUCAGCACUGACCACUGGGGUGCUGAUGAUAAUGGGAGUUCAGGGGAAGAAAGGUCAGCUGAACUCUCCAUCUGCUCUUGGACUCUUCCUCUGAGCUCCUGAACUCCUCUGGUGCCGAUUCGGGAUCUAGUCCUUCCUCUCCCUGUGCUGGUUCAGGGACUGCUGGCCCCUUCCCUUCCAGAGAGGAGCUGUCCCCUCCUGCUUCAUCUUCAAUCGCACCUCCCUCUGUCAGGAGACUAAAUCAGCCUCGUGAAGCUGGUGGCCUUGGAGUACAGUUGUCCAGUCUCCUCUCGCUCCCCCUCCAUUCCUUUGCUCGAGCUGGGCACGCAUGUACCCCUUCCCUGUGCCUACACACCCGUGCCAUGAAUACUCCAGUACACUCGUGCAGCGCGGACGACCAGCCCGACCUGCAACUAUGGCAACCGCACCCGUCGGUCAUCGGCACGAGCGGCAGGAACCCGAAGGUGGCGUGCCGGCUCGAGGGCAGCGGGAAGAAGGUGGGCGCGCUGAUUCGCUCCUGGUACCGGCGCGCGGGCGGGGGCGCGCUCGAGUUCCUGCUGAGCCGGCAGAGCCCCACGCGGCAGAGCUACGGCGCGGGCGUCGGCCAGCGGUUCCUGAUCGAGGAGGACGAGGGCGGGAACAGCUUCUCGCUCAUCAUCGGCAACUUCGCCGCGGCCGACCAGGGCGUCUACUACUGCGCCGUGUGGUUCAACCACAGGUACAUCUUCGGCCCGGGCACCCAGGUCAUCUACAGAGGUGAGCUCGCCGGACGCACACGGCUGUAAGGCUUUUGAAGGGUUGGAGUUACAAGACGACAAAAAGUGGAGAGCUGCGUCACCGUGCGCAGGCUGCUAGGGAACGGGUGAAGGUCUA
Molecule: non-coding RNA, 1575 nt
Organism: Lepisosteus oculatus (spotted gar)
Lineage: Eukaryota; Metazoa; Chordata; Actinopteri; Semionotiformes; Lepisosteidae
Source: the annotation of a RefSeq genome assembly